Long non-coding RNA from Odontomachus brunneus, 1104 nucleotides. RefSeq lists it as uncharacterized. NCBI's taxonomy places the organism in Eukaryota, Metazoa, Arthropoda, Insecta, Hymenoptera, Formicidae. The record is from RefSeq and is a predicted model, not a curated record. The transcript is spliced from 3 exons.
AUUACGCAGGGAUUGUUGUAUUCAAUUUUGGAUUGUGGACUGUGUCUAGUUUUGUGUUAUCUGAAAAAUGGCUAAUUUUUACACAAAUUCUGAAAUGAUGGAUAUUCAUUUUAUGUGUGGCAGAGCAAAGGGCAAUGGCACAAAUACAGAAUAAACCCGGAAUCUUUGAACGUGUUCGAUCUUCAAUGAGACGUGCCGAAUUGUGUGUUGAAAUGAACGGAGGACACAUUGAACAUUUAUUGGUGUCUCAGAACAAUAUUCGAAGGAAGCAUAGUAUGGAUUGAAGUACAUAACAUUGAAGCCCAAUAUCGUUUUGUGAUAUUCGCAAUAAUUAUCGAGCAGGUCUUCAGAUGUAACAGAUCUAUCAGAUGUUCAGUCUAAUCAAGCAGAUGUCGCUACAGCUCAUCUACACAGCAUAUCUUACAUGAUCAUUCAAAAAUCUUCUUUAAUUAAUAUCUCAAUAAUUAUCGCAAAAUGGAAUAUAAGACUUUUAUGUUCACUUUUUAUGUUCACAAAGUUGUUCUGGGAGACCGUAUAGAAUUCAUUUUAUUAUUUAUUUGUACCAAUCUUGUAAAAUAAGAAAUCUGAUCUUCUUUAGUUGAACUAAUGCUGCACUAAAACUUCUUCCUUUUUCCUUUAAUUGAAAUAAAUCAAAAGUAAGAGAAAUAAAGCAAUCAAGAGUCAAUCGCGGAUAUUAGUGUGAAUAAUCAUUUUUAAAUCAGAGAUAACAGUUAUAUUUUUUAACACGAUUUUUCCCGGAAUUGCAACGUAUGCGAAGAACCCACCUUCUAAAACUUAUCUUAAAUCUCAAUUAUUAAUCUUAACUAAUCUUUAUUAAUCUUAACUAAUCUAAAAAUUUCCAAUUCCCAAUUAAAUAAUGAAUUAAUCAACUCAUCUUUAAUAAUUACGAAAAAUACUGCCUCAGCCAACAAGCUAGAUUAAAUACUUGGCUCACUUUAGACUGCCGGCAAAGCCACAAAAGUGGCUUUAUAGCCACAAAAGUGGCUUUCCCAGCAAUCUAAAGGUUAAAAGCAAAAAGUGCAACCUAGUUCAACUAAAAUUAACAGAUCUAAGAAUAAUAAAUACAAUUUUGCAAGUAUUGCA